AGUUGUAUCCUGGCUCAGGAUGAACGCUAGCGGUAUGCCUAACACAUGCAAGUCGUACGAGGGUUUCAUACCCAAGUGGCGGACGGGUGAGUAACACGUGAGAAUUUGCCCUAAGGAGGGGGAUAACAACUGGAAACGGUUGCUAAAACCCCAUAUGCUUCCGAGUGAAAUAGAUUUAUCUGCCUUAGGAGAAGCUCGCGGCUGAUUAGCUAGUUGGUAAGGUAAUGGCUUACCAAGGCGACGAUCAGUAUCUGGUUUGAGAGGACGAUCAGACACACUGGAACUGAGACACGGUCCAGACUCCUACGGGAGGCAGCAGUGGGGAAUUUUCCGCAAUGGGCGAAAGCCUGACGGAGCAAUACCGCGUGAAGGAAGACGGCCUAUGGGUUGUAAACUUCUUUUUUCAGGGAGGAACUCAAUGACGUGUACCUGAAGAAUAAGCAUCGGCUAACUCCGUGCCAGCAGCCGCGGUAAGACGGAGGAUGCAAGUGUUAUCCGGAAUCACUGGGCGUAAAGCGUCUGUAGGUGGUUUAAUAAGUCGACUGUUAAAUCUUGAGGCUUAACCUCAAAAUCGCAUUCGAAACUAUUAGACUUGAGUAUAGUAGAGGUAAAGGGAAUUUCCAGUGGAGCGGUGAAAUGCGUAGAUAUUGGAAAGAACACCGAUGGCGAAGGCACUUUACUGGGCUAUUACUGACACUCAGAGACGAAAGCUAGGGUAGCAAAUGGGAUUAGAUACCCCAGUAGUCCUAGCCGUAAACAAUGGAUACUAGAUGUUGGACAGAUCGACCUGUGCAGUAUCAAAGCUAACGCGUUAAGUAUCCCGCCUGGGAAGUAUGCUCGCAAGANUGAAACUCAAGGGAAUUGACGGGGG
Molecule: ribosomal RNA, 871 nt
Filed under: uncultured bacterium
Lineage: Bacteria
Description: bacterial SSU rRNA
Rfam family: Bacterial small subunit ribosomal RNA
Source: RNAcentral